This 300-nucleotide unclassified non-coding RNA is filed under the name Chaetothyriales sp. RNAcentral's name for it is "partial contains internal transcribed spacer 1". The record is from RNAcentral. Lineage: Eukaryota; Fungi; Ascomycota; Eurotiomycetes; Chaetothyriales.
AAGUCGUAACAAGGUUUCCGUAGGUAUGUAGAUUGUCGAACUUCCACUUCCGGCUUUUUCAGGUAGACUAACGUGAAUUUUAGGUGAACCUGCGGAAGGAUCAUUAACGAGUUAGGGUCUCUCAGGCCCGAUCUCCAACCCUGUGUUUAAUUACCCUGUUGCUUUGGCGGGCCCGUCUUCGGACCGUCGGCGGUCAGCAAUGACUUCUGGCCAGCGCCCGCCAGAGACCCAUUUUAAAAAUCUGUUGAAAACGUGUCGUUCUCAGUAAAAAAUUAAAUUGUUAAAACUUUCAACAACGGA